This 253-nucleotide ribosomal RNA is filed under the name uncultured bacterium. RNAcentral's name for it is "partial 16S ribosomal RNA". It matches the Rfam family "Bacterial small subunit ribosomal RNA", at positions 524 to 776 of the family's 1533-position model. The record is from RNAcentral.
UACGUAGGGUCCAAGCGUUAUCCGGAAUCACUGGGCGUAAAGCGUGCGUAGGCGGCGUGUUAAGUGUGAUGUUAAAUCGUGUGGCUCAACCAUAUCGAUGCAUCACAUACUGGCAUGCUAGAGGACGGCAGAGGCAAGUGGAAUUGGUAGUGUAGCAGUGAAAUGCGUAGAUAUUACCAGGAACACCAAUGGCGAAGGCAGCUUGCUGGGCCGACCCUGACGCUGAGGCACGAAAGCGUGGGGAGCGAACAGG